UUACGGUCAAUCCUUUAUGCUCCGACCCAUAUACUAGGGUAGUAUCUUUUUAAGUACCUUCCGUUCAGAGCCCUAGUAAAUUCUUCUCCCUCGAUUGUUUCCAGAAUAUAAGCAUUUCCUGGAGCACAUCUACCGAUUUUAUACGGCCCUUCCCAUGUAGGGGACCACUUUCCGAAUUUAGGAUCUUUCGACCCAAUCGGCAAUACUAACUUCCAAACCAAGUCCCCAGGGGAGAAUUGUUUGACUUUGACCUUCUUAUCGUACCAUCUGGCUACUUUCUUUUUAUUUUCUUCGAUGCUUAUCAAGGCUCUUAACCGCUGGCCGGCCAAGU
This 331-nucleotide long non-coding RNA is filed under the name Setaria viridis. RNAcentral describes it as "long non-coding RNA (SVIR_LNC010729)". The record is from RNAcentral. Lineage: Eukaryota; Viridiplantae; Streptophyta; Magnoliopsida; Poales; Poaceae.